CUUAUACGGUGUAUCUAUACUGUA
Molecule: non-coding RNA, 24 nt
Filed under: Arabidopsis thaliana (thale cress)
Lineage: Eukaryota; Viridiplantae; Streptophyta; Magnoliopsida; Brassicales; Brassicaceae
Source: RNAcentral